RNAcentral lists this long non-coding RNA (343 nucleotides) under Citrus maxima (pomelo). Its description in RNAcentral is "long non-coding RNA (CMAX_LNC003480)". The record is from RNAcentral. Lineage: Eukaryota; Viridiplantae; Streptophyta; Magnoliopsida; Sapindales; Rutaceae.
UAUUUACUAUAAAUUAUACCUUUCUAACAAUAAUAAUAUGGUUUUGAUUCCUCAAAGAAAAAGGGUUUAAUCAAAUUUCGUUUUAUUAGUAAUAAUCACAUAUGAAAGGUUUGAUCAUUAGAAAGGUAUAAUUUAUAGCAAAUAAUUUGGGCAAAAAUGUAAUUGUAUCUCAAUUUUUAGUUUUAAAAAAAUUAUUAAUUGUGACAUGUCUCAAAUCAAUAUAUUAAUUUAUAUUUAUUAUAAGGGUAUAAUAGUAAUUAAAAAUUAAAAAUAAAUUUACUGUUAAAACAAACGGUGUUUAUUAACGGAAAGGAGGUUAUAAGUCAUUUUUGAAACGUUGAGG